RNAcentral lists this ribosomal RNA (495 nucleotides) under uncultured bacterium. RNAcentral describes it as "partial 16S ribosomal RNA". It matches the Rfam family "Bacterial small subunit ribosomal RNA", at positions 28 to 507 of the family's 1533-position model. The record is from RNAcentral.
GACGAACGCUGGCGGCGUGCCUAAUACAUGCAAGUAGAACGCUGAAGGAGGAGCUUGCUUCUCUGGAUGAGUUGCGAACGGGUGAGUAACGCGUAGGUAACCUGCCUGGUAGCGGGGGAUAACUAUUGGAAACGAUAGCUAAUACCGCAUAAUAGCAGUUAUUGCAUGAUAACUGUUUGAAAGGUGCAAUUGCACCACUACCAGAUGGACCUGCGUUGUAUUAGCUAGUUGGUGGGGUAACGGCUCACCAAGGCGACGAUACAUAGUCGACCUGAGAGGGUGAUCGGCCACACUGGGACUGAGACACGGCCCAGACUCCUACGGGAGGCAGCAGUAGGGAAUCUUCGGCAAUGGACGGAAGUCUGACCGAGCAACGCCGCGUGAGUGAAGAAGGUUUUCGGAUCGCAAAGCUCUGUUGUAAGAGAAGAACGAGUGUGAGAGUGGAAAGUUCACACUGUGACGGUAUCUUACCUGAAAGGGACGGCUAACUACGUG